This 270-nucleotide long non-coding RNA is filed under the name Ananas comosus (pineapple). RNAcentral's name for it is "long non-coding RNA (ACOM_LNC022916)". The record is from RNAcentral. Lineage: Eukaryota; Viridiplantae; Streptophyta; Magnoliopsida; Poales; Bromeliaceae.
GAGAUUUUAUCAAACUUUGGACUGUAAGGCUUCGUUUGGCUCGUGGUUAAGUAAGAAUUAGUUAUUUCAGGAAUAGGAUUAAGUUCAGAAUUAAGAUGGGAUUAGAGUAAAUUUGUGUGCGUGAGUGUAUUUGUUUCACCAUACAAAUUUAAUUUUUUGAGUCUCAGAUACCAACCAUCAAACCCUUUUGCCACUUGCGCUAGGGACGGUCGGUUCACUAUACAAAUCUAUUAUUAAGAUCUUGUUUAAUAUCAUUGUAAAUUUUUUAUU